AUGGCUGCCUACCGCCUCCUCUUGUUCCUUGUGCUUGCGCUCGCCGUCAGCAACAGCAUCAGCCCAGUGGCCGCCGCGGACUACGAUGACGUGCAGCUGCGGCAGGAGGCCAUGAUGCAGGCCCUCGGGGUGGUCGCCCGCUUCGACCUGGCCACCACCGACGCCGAGGCAGUGAGGCAGGUGAAGCAGGCGCUCGCGGUGCUGAACCGUGAGGUCAAGGCCCGCCCCCAGCAGUGGAAGCCCAUCUUCAAGGCCCUCGACAAGGUGAUGGACAGCGGCGCCGACGACCGCAGUAGGGCAAAGGCGUCCGCUGAGCUCAAGGUGCUGCUCGACCGCGAGCUCGGCCCGUGCCCGGACAGCCUCAGAAGGGACCUCGGAAUCGGUGAUCUGUAA
RNAcentral lists this ribosomal RNA (393 nucleotides) under Triticum aestivum (bread wheat). RNAcentral describes it as "partial small subunit ribosomal RNA". The record is from RNAcentral. Lineage: Eukaryota; Viridiplantae; Streptophyta; Magnoliopsida; Poales; Poaceae.